GACAGUUGCUUAUUCUGGCCUUGACUUAUGAUCCUUCUGUCUCAGCCUCCCAAGUGGCUGGGAUUACAGAUGUGUACCUGGCUCUAAUGGUCAUAUUCUUUAAAAUAUUUUUUAAACAGAGGACUAUGGGAUCCAGCUUCUACCUUGGCCAUGGCAACUGAGAUCAAAGCAUGUGAGCAGGCUCCAGAGAGAAGACAGAUACCCACAGCGCUGCCACCAGACUACCCAGGAUGCAGGAAUUUCAAUAUGAAGCAGCGCCUUUAUGAACCAAGCACAGUAUUUAUCUCAGCGUGGCUCCGUCUAUAUAGUAAUAUUAUCUUCAUUGUGAAGGAAGGAAGCUACAGGAAUGAACCACCUUGGGG
This is a non-coding RNA of Ictidomys tridecemlineatus (thirteen-lined ground squirrel), 362 nucleotides long. The record is from RefSeq and is a predicted model, not a curated record. NCBI's taxonomy places the organism in Eukaryota, Metazoa, Chordata, Mammalia, Rodentia, Sciuridae.